UUGGAUACCCAUCGAAUGUCCUUCUGGCUUCUCUCUCCGACUCACCUGGCUGCCCAGGCUCUGCCACAGAAAUGUGGCUGAUGUCCUGAUUGCACUUCCCUAAACAGCCUCUUGGAGAUGAUUAUUGAGCACACGGGCUGGGCUUUUCCAGAGGGUUACAAAAUGAAGCCAGACGUUUUGGAGCAAGAUGCCUGUUAGGGACUUGAUUUCAGCCUUUCCUGAUGUGCUCCCAAGGGUAUGAGAACAUGAAAAGUGAUGAAACCUGAGAGAUCUUCUACGUGCCCUUUGUGAUGAGAAAACUGGAUAAAGAUCUGGGCUGCAGAGAGUAUCAGGAGGGUUAUGAAGAUGAUAAGAGGACUGGAACAUCUCUCUGAUGAGGAAAGACUGAGAGAACUGGGACCUUUUUAGUCCAGAGAAGAGCAGACUGAGAGCUCUUGUUAGCAACUACUGCACCAAAGCAACAGCAGAAUGUGGUGAAGAGACA
Pogoniulus pusillus (Red-fronted tinkerbird) is the source of this 484-nucleotide long non-coding RNA. RefSeq lists it as uncharacterized. NCBI's taxonomy places the organism in Eukaryota, Metazoa, Chordata, Aves, Piciformes, Lybiidae. The transcript is spliced from 4 exons. The record is from RefSeq and is a predicted model, not a curated record.